Oncorhynchus gorbuscha (pink salmon) is the source of this 461-nucleotide long non-coding RNA. RefSeq lists it as uncharacterized. The record is from RefSeq and is a predicted model, not a curated record. NCBI's taxonomy places the organism in Eukaryota, Metazoa, Chordata, Actinopteri, Salmoniformes, Salmonidae. The transcript is spliced from 3 exons.
GAAAUUACCUCCGUACCCGUGUCACACGGACCGUGGCGAGAGUUUAACAAAAGAAACAUGUUUAAACCCAGAGAUGGACUCUCUGUUAUACUGAUGCCACGACGGUCGAAGCAGAGCUUCUCGAUCCGAUACCACGUUGUUCCAGAGACAGCCUAGUGAAGCUGGAUGAGCAGAUACAGAUGUCACCCAAUUGGACACUUAUCGGAGAUUCUGGAGUGGUGCCUGAGAUAGUGUUUUCCACCACCAUCAACAACAAAUGACAGAAUUUCCAUGGAAGAACGGUGUCGCAUCACUCCAAUAGAGUUCCAGACACUUGCAAAAUCUAUGCCAAGGUGCCCUGAAGCUGUUCUGGUUUGUGGUGGCCCAACGCCCUGUUAAGACACUUUAUGAAGUGACAGACAGGAGUGGACAGUGACAGAGUGACAUGCUCUGACCCAUAAGCGAGGGACGGCGCUGCAUCU